UACAGAGGUCUCAAGCGUUGUUCGGAUUCAUUGGGCGUAAAGGGUGCGUAGGCGGCGCGGUAAGUCGGGUGUGAAAUCUUGGAGCUUAACUCCGAAACUGCAUUCGAUACUGCCGUGCUUGAGGACUGGAGAGGAGACUGGAAUUUACGGUGUAGCGGUGAAAUGCGUAGAUAUCGUAAGGAACACCAGGAGCGAAAGCGGCUUACUGGGCGUUUUCUGACGCUGAUGCACGAAAGCUAGGGGAGCGAACGGG
Molecule: ribosomal RNA, 253 nt
Filed under: uncultured bacterium
Lineage: Bacteria
Description: partial 16S ribosomal RNA
Rfam family: Bacterial small subunit ribosomal RNA
Source: RNAcentral